UGGGGAAUUUUGGACAAUGGGGGAAACCCUGAUCCAGCCAUCCCGCGUGUGCGAUGAAGGCCUUCGGGUUGUAAAGCACUUUUGGCAGGAAAGAAACGUCGCGGGUUAAUACCCCGCGAAACUGACGGUACCUGCAGAAUAAGCACCGGCUAACUACGUGCCAGCAGCCGCGGUAAUACGUAGGGUGCAAGCGUUAAUCGGAAUUACUGGGCGUAAAGCGUGCGCAGGCGGUCCGGAAAGAAAGAUGUGAAAUCCCAGAGCUUAACUUUGGAACUGCAUUUUUAACUACCGGGCUAGAGUGUGUCAGAGGGAGGUGGAAUUCCGCGUGUAGCAGUGAAAUGCGUAGAUAUGCGGAGGAACACCGAUGGCGAAGGCAGCCUCCUGGGAUAACACUGACGCUCAUGCACGAAAGCGUGGGGAGCAAACAGGAUUAGAUACCCUGGUAGUCCACGCCCUAAACGAUGUCAACUAGCUGUUGGGGCCUUCGGGCCUUGGUAGCGCAGCUAACGCGUGAAGUUGACCGCCUGGGGAGUACGGUCGCAAGAUUAAAAACUC
RNAcentral lists this ribosomal RNA (555 nucleotides) under uncultured bacterium. Its description in RNAcentral is "partial 16S ribosomal RNA". It matches the Rfam family "Bacterial small subunit ribosomal RNA", at positions 355 to 902 of the family's 1533-position model. The record is from RNAcentral.